RNAcentral lists this ribosomal RNA (497 nucleotides) under uncultured bacterium. RNAcentral describes it as "partial 16S ribosomal RNA". It matches the Rfam family "Bacterial small subunit ribosomal RNA", at positions 28 to 507 of the family's 1533-position model. The record is from RNAcentral.
GAUGAACGCUGGCGGCGUGCCUAAUACAUGCAAGUCGAGCGAACAGAUGAGGAGCUUGCUCCUCUGACGUUAUCGGCGGACGGGUGAGUAACACGUGGAUAACCUACCUAUAAGACUGGGCUAACUUCGGGAAACCGGAGCUAAUACCGGAUAAUAUAUUGAACCGCAUGGUUCAAUAGUGAAAGACGGUUUUGCUGUCACUUAUAGAUGGAUCCGCGCCGCAUUAGCUAGUUGGUAAGGUAACGGCUUACCAAGGCAACGAUGCGUAGCCGACCUGGGAGGGUGAUCGGCCACACUGGAACUGAGACACGGUCCAGACUCAGACGGGAGGCAGCAGUAGGGAAUCUUCCGCAAUGGGCGAAAGCCGGACGGAGCAACGCCGCGUGAGUGAUGAAGGUCUUCGGAUCGUAAAACUCUGUUAUUAGGGAAGAAGAAAUGGGUAAGUAACUAUGCACGUCUUGACGGUACCUAAACAGAAAGCCACGGCUAACUACGUG